Molecule: long non-coding RNA, 472 nt
Filed under: Gossypium raimondii (Peruvian cotton)
Lineage: Eukaryota; Viridiplantae; Streptophyta; Magnoliopsida; Malvales; Malvaceae
Description: long non-coding RNA (GRAI_LNC007635)
Source: RNAcentral
CUAGCCAAGCCUAGCGCCGCACCCAUCCCUCUGCCGUUUGCCUUGUCCCAUCGCCACCCACCGUGCCUAGCCUCAUCAACACCUGCAAAAACAGAGCAGACACGCAAAAAGCAGCAACAAAUAAUAGAAAUAUAGAAAUAGAUGAGAUAUAAAAGCAAAAAAAUAUGAUCUUUGUAACAACAACAACAACUGAAAUAAAAAACAAAAAAAGGUUGACUCCAUUUUCUUUCUCUGUUCUUACAUUGCUAUUUUAUUUAUUUCUAUUUUAUUUUAUUUUAUUUUUUGUUUGUUUGAUUCCUUCUUUAUAACAAAACGAAAAGGAAAAGAAAGGGGAUACUCACCGGUCUCGAAAGCCCGUCGCCGGAGACCACCUUCGGCGUUGGAAUCGGACUAAAAGGGAGUACGAAAAACCCCUCCUUUUCCGACUUUUCGGGACUAAAAGGAUAUUUUUUUUAGAAGGGUCGAGAUCGGG